Molecule: ribosomal RNA, 472 nt
Filed under: uncultured bacterium
Lineage: Bacteria
Description: bacterial SSU rRNA
Rfam family: Bacterial small subunit ribosomal RNA
Source: RNAcentral
AAUUCGCCCUUAGAGUUUGAUCCUGGCUCAGAUUGAACGCUGGCGGCAUGCCUUACACAUGCAAGUCGAACGGUAACGCGGGGCAACCUGGCGACGAGUGGCGAACGGGUGAGUAAUAUAUCGGAACGUGCCCAGUCGUGGGGGAUAACUGCUCGAAAGAGCAGCUAAUACCGCAUACGACCUGAGGGUGAAAGCGGGGGAUCUUCGGACCUCGCGCGAUUGGAGCGGCCGAUAUCAGAUUAGGUAGUUGGUGGGGUAAAGGCCUACCAAGCCGACGAUCUGUAGCUGGUCUGAGAGGACGACCAGCCACACUGGGACUGAGACACGGCCCAGACUCCUACGGGAGGCAGCAGUGGGGAAUUUUGGACAAUGGGGGCAACCCUGAUCCAGCCAUGCCGCGUGCGGGAAGAAGGCCUUCGGGUUGUAAACCCCUUUUGUCAGGGAAGAAAUCCUUUGGGCUAAUAACUCGGAG